This 3782-nucleotide long non-coding RNA is filed under the name Mus musculus (house mouse). RNAcentral describes it as "long non-coding RNA chr8:123508420-123512202". The record is from RNAcentral. Lineage: Eukaryota; Metazoa; Chordata; Mammalia; Rodentia; Muridae.
AAGUUUAAGGACAGCCAGGGCUACACAGAAACCCUAUUUCAAAAAGCAAAAACAAGCUGGGCAGUGGUGACGCACGCCAUUAAUCCCAGCACUUGGGAGGCAGAGGCAGGUAGAUUUCUGAGUUCGAGGCCAGCCUGGUCUACAAAGUGAGUUCCAGGACAGCCAGGGCUACACAGAGAAACCCUGUCUCAGAAAACAAAACAAACAAAAUGGAAGGACUGAAGCAUUUGCGGCAAACCUUGUGUUCUGGCCACAGGGGUUACAACAUAUCCUGCUGACAUGGGGCUUAGGAGAGGAUGGAAGGAUGGAAGACUGGGGUCUCACCCACACAGCCCACUCCAGAUGAUAGCACCUCCUCCUCUCCUGAGGAGAAGCCACUCAAGUGGUGAGGGGCCCAGGUUGGUGGCUGCCCCCGCCUUGUGCUUAGCUUAACUUAAAGUCCACACUUAGUAAGUUAUAUUUUCAUUUGGCUCAAUUGUAGAAGUCGAGGGAAGGUAGAUAGGGGCAUAGCAAUGCAAAGUAUGAGCAAGGACAAGUACUAUACACAGUUGGGUAAAAAUGGUGUCUUUCUAAGUAGGGAUCUGAGGGGACCAGGAGCCCCAGGACAUCCCCAGAGCACCCCCUUUAUGCCUUUUUUCCCUCAAGCCAGCGUGCAGCCUCACCUGCUGGUGACUCAGUGGCAAGGUUUUCGUCAUCGGAGUCCGCAAAGACCUCGGCCAACUCCUGGUCAGACAUGUCCGUCAGCUCAGUGAGGUCCAGGAGAUCGAAGUGGACCUCCAGAGAGGAGACGCUGCUCAGAGGCUCUAGGGGUUCCAGGAGACACAGGCACCUCUCAGUCCCACUUGAAGCUACCAAGAGCCUUAGGGACCUCUUUGCACAGAAUCCACAGGUGACCCGGCACUUUGGGUAUUCAUGUGUGCUUUCAUACAUAUGUGCACACGUGCAGGCCAGAGGCCGACGGGGGUCUUACUUACUUCUCUGCUGUACCUUUUGAGAUGGGGACUCAUAUAACCAGUUUGUCUAGACUGGCUGGCUGGUCAGGAAGUCCCAAGGAUUCUCAUUUCUGUCUCCUCAGUGCAGGACUUAUAUAAAAGCACGUACUGCCAUGCCUGAUUUUUCCUACAGGAGGGCUGGGGAUCUGAACUGGGGUCCUUAAGCUUACAGAGCAAGCAGUUUACCCAUUGAGCCAUUCCCAGAACUGGCACUUCCUGUAAAGCCAGUACUGGACAAGACCAGGCAGACUCAGCAACCGGGUGGCUCUGCACACUCUAGACCGGAGAGCUUUCUCAGCGCCUCCAUUCUACAGACAGGACAACUGCAAGCACAGUUGCCCUUCAUGGGGCAGGGCUGCCGCCUCUCAUACGCAGGCUGCUGGAUGGAUGGAUGGAUGGACAGACGGACGGAUUGUCAGUGAUACUUACGCCUCCUCUCUGUGACCUGCAGGAACCCUGGUGCUGGUAUUGGGAUGCCAACCUCCUCCUCCUCCUCUGCCACAGGUGUACGGCACAUGUCCCCUGUCUCAUGAGCUGAAACAUUCAGGGCAGCCUGUGGUACCUUGACGUCCUUAACGAUCUCUGUAACCAAGAUACAGUGUUACCUCCACACUCAUGGGACCCCACAUCCCUCCAGGAUGGGGCUGUGUGGCAAGUAGGGAGGAACACGAGGCCCUCGCCAUGAUGAGGGGUUCCAUUUCAUGGCCACAAGGAAGCAGAGAUACGCGGCUGCUUCCCUUUAAGCUGUCCUCCCUGGGUGACUGGGCAAAGGUGUCUGCCAGUGGAUGGAGGGACAGACAGACAGACCACUCAGCACUGCAGCUCCAGCGUGCUUAGUCUGGGAACUCUACAUCAGGUUUGCCAGCAUUAGGCUCCACUGUCUCCCACACCGUAGCUUGUCUAGUUAUGGUAUGUUUAUUAGUCACUCGUGGGUUCCUGCCUUUCUUCUGGGCACUGACUGACUUAUAAAAACCCUGUGGAGUGUUUGAGUUCAAAUGGAAAAGAAGCAGAGCAGGAAGCAGCAGCCUUGCUGUCCACCCCAUCCACACACCCACCUAUACACACACACACACACACACACACACACACCAGCCCCACUGUGGUUUGCUGAAGGUUCUUUUCAAAACAGGAAUUGCUUGUCUCCCUUAUUUAACAGCUUUCUGUUGGAGAGCAGGUGUCCCUCUGGGAUCUGCAGACUGCUCAGUCCCACACUAGCACUUUCUUUCCAGUGCCUGGAGCCAUCACCCAGUGGGGUGCUGGACACACGUAUCUCCUCCCAUGGGGUAGUUUAGAUCUUUUCGAUACCUGUCAUCUCCCUUCCCAUGGCACACCCCCCCAGCAGCCUCCUCAUCAUUCCCCACACCCCACCAACUUCCCUCUCUGGUUUCUAGGUCCUUCACAGUGUGUCUGACCCCCACCUGCAGUCACUCAGUGUGGACCCAGGUGGAUGACAUUCCCGUGUGACCCGUGAUCUGUGCUGGGAUGCACAAGUGUCCCGUGGAUUAUUUUUGGCAGCCCUGGGUGAUGAACAUUGAACACCACACUAAGGGCAGCUGCUGCCCUGAGCAAGGUUUGAACUGAGGUGACCACAGCCCAGGCCCCGACAGCUGCAUGUCAGGCUAGGCUGCCUUUCCUAAUGAGAUAUGUUGGCAGCAGAUGUGGGGCUGGAGCAUCCGAGAACACUUUCCCCUAUCAGAUGCAAAAGGCAGAGGGGGAGUGUGGAUCUCAGAUGGGGCCAGGAGCUCAGGAAAGAGGAAUGAGUAGCAGGCUACAGUAGAGUUGUGUGCAGGACUAGUGGACCUUCUCUGAACUCCAGUGUCCAUCUGCAUGAGGGUGAGCCGUGAGGACUGUCCAGGCGGAAGGGAAGAAAUGCUGGUACUGUUCCCACUUUCCUUCAUUUUCUGGGGUCUCUUGUGCUGAGAUGGGGGACCUUGGCUAAAUAGUAAGUAUAGCCCCUAUCUUGCACCCCUUGAUAGAGAUCCUGGGGUUACAUACUCUUCAGCCCCUGGGAUAAGACAAUAGUGGCCUUAUUACAUCUUUUCAUAUUUUGUCCAUGAGGCUUUGGAGUCAAUGAGAUGUGGUACCUCUGUAUAGGGUGCUGGGGAUCAAACCAAGAAUAUCCAAGAGCAUUACACACACUUGGCAAAUGUUGUCUGUAGUUUUAAAAGUAUCCCCAUGUUUUGGUUCUUUUCCAUCUCGCUCUGGCCUUGGUCCUGUCUUUACUCUGUAAAUCCUGGUGCUUUGUCCUUAACCAGAUAUGUGGGGGAGGAGAACGAAGACAGAAUCGUCACCAUCAAGAACAUUCUUGUGGUACAUACCCAUCGUCCCAAACUAGGGAGGUGGAGUCAGGGCUUGGUGAGAAUGUCUAGGAACAAGUAAACAGACCACCCUUGAGGCUGGUGCACUGGUUACACUUACAAUCCUAGCAGUUGGGAAGUGGUGGGCGGACCAUUGAGGUUUGAAGCCAGAAAUUAAAAUCUGCCAGGACAGAGGAAACCUCUAACCCUCAUCCAUCCAUCGCGUUCUCUCUCUCUCACACACACACACACCAUGUGUGUGUAUGAAUGUCCCCCAUCUCUGUGUAUAUGAAAGAAUGACCCUAAGACUCCACAGUUAAUAAGUGGCUGUGCUAAGAAUCAUCCGGUCAGAGGCUGGAGAGAUGGCUCAGCGGGUAAGAGCACUGGCUGCUCUUCUAGAGGUCCUGAGUUCAAUUCCCAGCAACCACAUGAUGGCUCACAACCACCUGUACAGCUACAGUGUACUCAUAUGCAUAAAAUAAAUAAAAUCUUU